This 467-nucleotide ribosomal RNA is filed under the name uncultured bacterium. Its description in RNAcentral is "partial 16S ribosomal RNA". It matches the Rfam family "Bacterial small subunit ribosomal RNA", at positions 28 to 506 of the family's 1533-position model. The record is from RNAcentral.
GACGAACGCUGGCGGCGUGCUUAACACAUGCAAGUCGAACGGAAAGGCCCUGCUUUUGUGGGGUGCUCGAGUGGCGAACGGGUGAGUAACACGUGAGUAACCUGCCCUUGACUUUGGGAUAACUUCAGGAAACUGGGGCUAAUACCGGAUAGGAGCUCCUGCUGCAUGGUGGGGGUUGGAAAGUUUCGGCGGUUGGGGAUGGACUCGCGGCUUAUCAGCUUGUUGGUGGGGUAGUGGCUUACCAAGGCUUUGACGGGUAGCCGGCCUGAGAGGGUGACCGGCCACAUUGGGACUGAGAUACGGCCCAGACUCCUACGGGAGGCAGCAGUGGGGAAUAUGGCACAAUGGGCGGAAGCCUGAGGCAGCAACGCCGCGUGCGGGAGGACGGCCUUCGGGUUGUAAACCGCUUUCGCCUGUGACGAAGCGUGAGUGACGGUAAUGGGUAAAGAAGCACCGGCUAACUACGU